RNAcentral lists this non-coding RNA (29 nucleotides) under Homo sapiens (human). The record is from RNAcentral. Lineage: Eukaryota; Metazoa; Chordata; Mammalia; Primates; Hominidae.
UACCAAAGGCCUAGUGCUUGGCCUCGAGC